GGGUUAAGUCCCGCAACGAGCGCAACCCUUGCCUUUAGUUGCCAGCAGUUCGGCUGGGCACUCUAAAGGGACUGCCGGUGUUAAACCGGAGGAAGGUGGGGAUGACGUCAAGUCCUCAUGGCCUUUAUGACCAGGGCUACACACGUACUACAAUGGCCGAUACAAAGGGCAGCGACACUGCGAGGUGAAGCCAAUCCCGUAAAAUACGGUCUCAGUCCGGAUUGGAGUCUGCAACUCGACUCCAUGAAGUUGGAAUCGCUAGUAAUCGUGGAUCAGCAUGCCACGGUGAAUACGUUCCCGGGCCUU
Molecule: ribosomal RNA, 306 nt
Filed under: uncultured Desulfobulbus sp.
Lineage: Bacteria; Pseudomonadati; Thermodesulfobacteriota; Desulfobulbia; Desulfobulbales; Desulfobulbaceae
Description: bacterial SSU rRNA
Rfam family: Bacterial small subunit ribosomal RNA
Source: RNAcentral